UACGUAGGGGCCUAGCGUUGUCCGGAAUUAUUGGGCGUAAAGAGCGCGUAGGCGGUCCGAUAAGUCGGCUGUGAAAGUCAGGGGCUCAACCCUUGGAAGCCGGCCGAUACUGUCGGACUAGAGUCCGGAAGAGGCGAGUGGAAUUCCAGGUGUAGCGGUGAAAUGCGUAGAUAUCGGGAGGAACACCUGUGGCGAAGGCGGCCCCCUGGUUGGAUACUGACGCUGAUACGCGAAAGCGUGGGGAGCAAACAGG
RNAcentral lists this ribosomal RNA (253 nucleotides) under uncultured bacterium. RNAcentral describes it as "partial 16S ribosomal RNA". It matches the Rfam family "Bacterial small subunit ribosomal RNA", at positions 524 to 776 of the family's 1533-position model. The record is from RNAcentral.